UAUUGGACAAUGGGGCAUCCCUGAUCCAUCCAUGCCUCGUGUGUGAAUAAGGUCUUCGGAUUGUAAAGCACUUUACGUUGGGAGGUUGUGAUUUAGUUUAAUACUUUGAAGUUUUGACGUUACCAGCAGAAUAAGCACCGGCUAACUCUGUGCCAGCAGCAGCGGUAGUACACAGGGUGCAAGCGUUAAUCGGAAUUACUGGUCUUAAAGCGCGCGUAGGUCGUACAGUAAGAUGGGUGGGAAAUCCCCGGGCUUUACCUGGGAACUGCUUUCAUAACUGCUGAGCUAGAGUACGGUAGAGAGUAGUGGUAUUUCCUGUGUAGCGGUGAAAUGAGUAGAUAUAGGAAGGAACACCAGUGGAGAAGGCGACUACCUGGACUGAUACUGACACUGAAGUGCGAAAGCGUGGGGAGCAAAC
Molecule: ribosomal RNA, 418 nt
Filed under: uncultured bacterium
Lineage: Bacteria
Description: partial 16S ribosomal RNA
Rfam family: Bacterial small subunit ribosomal RNA
Source: RNAcentral